CCGAGUUAUACAACUCAUCAACCCUGUGAACAUACCUAUAACGUUGCCUCGGCGGGAACAGACGGCCCCGUAACACGGGCCGCCCCCGCCAGAGGACCCCCUAACUCUGUUUCUAUAAUGUUUCUUCUGAGUAAACAAGCAAAAU
This 145-nucleotide unclassified non-coding RNA is filed under the name soil metagenome. RNAcentral describes it as "partial internal transcribed spacer 1". The record is from RNAcentral.